UACGAAGGGGACUAGCGUUGUUCGGAAUUACUGGGCGUAAAGCGCGCGUAGGCGGAUCGCUAAGUCAGGGGUGAAAUCCCAAGGCUCAACCUUGGAACUGCCUUUGAUACUGACGAUCUGGAGAUUGGGAGAGGUGAGUGGAAUUCCGAGUGUAGAGGUGAAAUUCGUAGAUAUUCGGAGGAACACCAGAAGCGAAGGCGGCUCACUGGCCCAAUACUGACGCUGAGGCGCGAAAGCGUGGGGAGCAAAC
This 250-nucleotide ribosomal RNA is filed under the name uncultured bacterium. RNAcentral describes it as "partial 16S ribosomal RNA". It matches the Rfam family "Bacterial small subunit ribosomal RNA", at positions 524 to 773 of the family's 1533-position model. The record is from RNAcentral.